This is a long non-coding RNA of Arvicola amphibius (Eurasian water vole), 1545 nucleotides long. RefSeq lists it as uncharacterized. Lineage: Eukaryota; Metazoa; Chordata; Mammalia; Rodentia; Cricetidae. The record is from RefSeq and is a predicted model, not a curated record. The transcript is spliced from 2 exons.
GUUAUUGGUUAUUGGAAAAAUCUGUUUUGGUCAAUGGAUUCACAGAGUAAAAGCCAGGCAGGAAGAAGGCAAAGUCAGACAGAUGCCAUGUAGCUGCUGAAGGAGAAGACACUGGAACCAUACCAGUAUGUUACAGCCUUGUGUUGAUACACAGAUGAAUAGAAAUGGGUUCAUCUAAGAUGUGAGAAAUAGUUAAUAAGAAGCCUGAGCCAUUGACCAAACAGUGUUUUAAUUAAUAUAGCUUCUGUAUGAUUAUUGGGUCUGGACAGCUGGAAACAGGAACUGGGUAAGUAACUCAUUAGCCUUAGUGAGUUCCUCCUGCUUAGGUUGGAUUGCUGCAAAGGUAGCCAGGGGCAAGAGGAGAAACCAGUUUCUGUAACAAAUCAGGGAAAUUUAAUUUUUCUACAGAGGCUUUUGUUCCUAGUAAAUGCAGGCACAACUACAACUGUCUAAGCAAAACUAACGGUCUCCAUAUGAAAAAGGACAGCAAAAGUUAGAGAGAGCUGAAGCCUGUGAGCUCCCGAGGAUCAGUGCAGAAGUUUGCAGUAUCUUUUCCAUAGGUCCUCUGAAUAGAGCCUUGCCUUCUGGGGAGCUUCAUUUGCAAAACAUUUAUGCAUCCUUCCCAGCGGUGACAGCAUGGCUUCCACCAUAUCCUCUUGUUUUAUAUUUUAAAUGAAGUUCAUGUAUAUCAUAUUUAGAAAUGUGAAGUCUGUGGCUUAGGUGACUGAUGAAGACUGGGAAAAAUAAUAAAAAUAAAAUAAAUUUAUAGCAAUAGUCAAAUUAAUAAUAAGAAACCAGAAGUUCUUUCCAGAGACUUAAAUAGUCAGUGAAGAUUAUCGCCUGGGAGCAACUUGUUCUGGUGAUGACAUUUGUAAUGUGAGAAAUUAUAGUACUUUGUUUAUUUAGUGAAUUGAUAUUUAUAUUGAAAUUUGAAUUAUUUCAGAUUCCUUUUAUAUGAGCCUGAAUCUAUUUUCAAGAAACUUCUGAAUCAUUGUAAGGCUUUGUGGUGGAAGUCCAGCUGCAAGAGGAAGCAUCAGGAAAUGGUGUAACCAGGCCCAUCAGUUGAAAAUGUAAUUGGGCCCUAUCAACAGCAGGGGACCAAGCAAAGCUCAGUCCCCAGGAACGGUUUGAAAUUCUCUGCCUGUUGGCCACUGAUGCACAUAGCAGUUGUCAGAUGAUAGAUGGGUUUGGAUGCCACUGUCAUCAUAGUGCUGGGUUCCUGCUGCUUUAUGAAUUCCAGGCCCUGGUGUAGGAGCCUAGAACCAAGGCCAUACAGUUUCAUAAGUCCGUCCCUGAUUUACUCAGAAAAGUAUAACUCUUCCUUUGCUUUUUUCUGUCCCUUUUGCGAGCAUAAUUUUUUUGCGCUUUUGAGUUCCCUCAUCUUCUAAAGCUGCCCUUCCUGCCAUGCUGCUGCUUAUCCACCAUGUGACUGACCUCUAUGCAGCAUACUCUAAGGCAUGGAUUUUUCUCUCUCUGCUCCAAAAUUUACAGCUUCUCUGCCCUGAGGUUUUUGUUUAAAUACAAAUAAAAUUGUUCUUGAGCUUC